CCUACGGGAGGCAGCAGUGAGGAAUAUUGGUCAAUGGCCGGAAGGCUGAACCAGCCAUGCCGCGUGAAGGUCAGUGCCCUAUGGGCGUUAAACUUCUUUUGUGCGGGAGCAAUAAUGGUCACGUGUGGCCAGACGAGAGUACCGUACGAAUAAGAAUCGGCCAACUCCGUGCCAGCAGCCGCGGUUAUACGGGGGAUGCAAGCGUUAUCCUGAUUUGUUGGGUUUAAAGGGUGCGUAGGCUGUGAGGUAAGGCAGCAGUGAAGUGCCUCCGCUCAACGGGGUGAAGUGCCAUUGAUACUGGCUUGCUGGAAUGCGGAUGCGGUGGGAGGAAUGUGUGGUGUAGCGGUGAAAUGCAUAGAUAUCACACAGAACACCGAUUGCGAAGGCAUCUCACGAAUCCGCGAUUGACGCUGAUGCACGAAAGCGUGGGUAUCAAACAGGAUUAGAUACCCCGGUAGUC
Molecule: ribosomal RNA, 460 nt
Filed under: uncultured bacterium
Lineage: Bacteria
Description: partial 16S ribosomal RNA
Rfam family: Bacterial small subunit ribosomal RNA
Source: RNAcentral